Molecule: unclassified non-coding RNA, 251 nt
Filed under: Hevea brasiliensis (rubber tree)
Lineage: Eukaryota; Viridiplantae; Streptophyta; Magnoliopsida; Malpighiales; Euphorbiaceae
Source: RNAcentral
GUGUGAUCAUCAGGUGGCUGGGGCGAUGUUGGGAACUCUAUGUAGGUUGGAGUAGGAGAUGGCUGGUUGCCGCCCUUGGUCUUUGCGGCUGAGGAAUGAGCAGAGACAGCUGAGAGUGGAGCGUGUGCCAACGGGAACGAUGAGGUAUUGUUCAAUCUAUUCAUUGUUACUAUAGAUGUCCCUGAUCUCCUGAGGGGUUUUAUACUGGUGCUGUUCAUCAUGUUCUAAUUUGGUUUCAAAAGAGAGAGUCU